This 72-nucleotide transfer RNA is filed under the name Muntiacus reevesi (Reeves' muntjac). It matches the Rfam family "tRNA". Rfam says of the family: Transfer RNA (tRNA) molecules are approximately 80 nucleotides in length. Their secondary structure includes four short double-helical elements and three loops (D, anti-codon, and T loops). Further hydrogen bonds mediate the characteristic L-shaped molecular structure. tRNAs have two regions of fundamental functional importance: the anti-codon, which is responsible for specific mRNA codon recognition, and the 3' end, to which the tRNAs corresponding amino acid is attached (by aminoacyl-tRNA synthetases). tRNAs cope with the degeneracy of the genetic code in two manners: having more than one tRNA (with a specific anti-codon) for a particular amino acid; and 'wobble' base-pairing, i.e. permitting non-standard base-pairing at the 3rd anti-codon position. Lineage: Eukaryota; Metazoa; Chordata; Mammalia; Artiodactyla; Cervidae. RNAcentral also lists the same sequence under 6 other names. The record is from Rfam by way of RNAcentral.
UCCCUGGUGUCUCAGACAGUAAAGAAACUGCCUGCAAUGCAGGAGACCCAGGUUCAAUCCCUGGAUUGGGAA